RNAcentral lists this non-coding RNA (45 nucleotides) under Schistosoma mansoni. The record is from RNAcentral. Lineage: Eukaryota; Metazoa; Platyhelminthes; Trematoda; Strigeidida; Schistosomatidae.
AUUCAGCUGGUGAGUCCCAAAUAGGACGAAACGCGUGUCCUGGAU